Molecule: ribosomal RNA, 773 nt
Filed under: uncultured Neocallimastigales
Lineage: Eukaryota; Fungi; Neocallimastigomycota; Neocallimastigomycetes; Neocallimastigales
Description: partial large subunit ribosomal RNA
Rfam family: Eukaryotic large subunit ribosomal RNA
Source: RNAcentral
CGUCUAUAUACGUAUAGCAUAUCAAUAAGCGGAGGAAAAGAAACUAACUAGGAUUCCCUUAGUAACGGCGAGUGAAGCGGGAAGAGCUCAAAUUUGAAAUCUUCAAGGUUUACCUUGACGAAUUGUAGUUUAAAGAAGUGUUUUCUGUUGAGUUUCGGUAAAAGUUCUUUGGAAUAGGACAUCAUAGAGGGUGAGAAUCCCGUAUUUGACCAUUAUUUCAGCUUUGUGAUACACUUUCAAAGAGUCGGAUUGUUUGGGAAUGCAGUCCAAAAUGGGUGGUAAAUUUCAUCUAAAGCUAAAUAUUGGCGAGAGACCGAUAGCGAACAAGUACCGUGAGGGAAAGAUGAAAAGAACUUUGAAAAGAGAGUUAAACAGUACGUGAAAUUGUCAAAAGGGGAAGCGUUUGACACCAGUGUUGUUUUCUCGAAAAUCAAUUAAAAAAGGCCUGGAUUUUGUGUUGUAUUGACUUUAUCAGCUUUCUGCACUCUUUUCUUGUCUUUUUUAAUGCACUUUUCGUUUAACAAGUCAACAUCAAUUUCUUUUGUUGUAAAAGGGUCAUUGGAAGGUGGCUUUCUUUUCGGAGAAAGUGUUUAUAGCCUUUGGCCUCUGCAAUCGGAGAGAUUGAGGUCUGCAGCGUAGAUCCUUCGGGGUUAGAUACAUUUGUGCUAAGUUAUAGCCUUUCAUAGACAACUUGUUGACUAUGAUCAGUCAUGUAGCUUACUCGCUUAUGCUAUUUUACCUACGCUUAGGAUGUUGAAGUCAUCGUAUCGCGC